UCUGACAUUAUUAUUACACUUGUAUCAUGCUUUUUGCGGUCAUGAAACUGGACAGGGCACAGCAGAGUCAGCUCUGCUUUGCUCCAAGGUAUCUAGAACCACAGCUGGGAUGACUUAAGUGCCUGCAGGCUGAUCAGGCAUCUCUCUCUCUCUUCCCACAGGCCAUCUCCCUCUCUCUCUCUUCUCAUUGCAUGGUGGCCUCAGGGUAGUAGGACUUCUUCCACGGUGCCCCAGGGCUCCAAGAGCCAGUGUUUCGAGAAGGCUGAGCUGAAGCUACAAGGCUUCUUAUGGCACAGCCUCAGAACCCCCAGAAGGUGAAUUCUGCCACUAAGACUAGCCAAGAUUCAAGGAGAGGGGAAUAGGAAGGACAUCAAAGAAUUGAGACUCACUUUAAAUCUGCCACAGUAAGUAACCAGUCAAGUCAUAUAGCCAGUAAGUUGGAAGACAGCAUUAACUCACACUCUUAACCAUUAUGCCAAGUUUAGCAAUCUGAUAAUUGAAUUUAUAUAUCACUGAGAUAAAUCCAGUGGAUGAUGGAUAUUCUGAUGUUAAUUUGUAAUUCAGUUAUUUGGCACACAGAUCAUAUUUUCUUCUAAAGAUGAAUAUAAAGUGAACAAACCACUGUCCAGACUUUUUUUUUUUUUUUUUUAGUCUUUUGUCUUUUUUGUUGUUGUUGCUGCUAUUUCUUGGGCCGCUCCCGCGGCAUAUGGAGGUUCCCAGGCUAGGGGUCGAAUCGGAGCUGUAGCCACCGGCCUACGCCAGAGCCACAGCAACUCGGGAUCCGAGCCGCGUCUGCAACCUACACCACAGCUCAUGGCAACGCCGGAUCGUUAACCCACUGAGAAAGGGCAGGGACCGAACCCGCAACCUCAUGGUUCCUAGUCGGAUUCGUUAACCACUGCGCCACUACAGGAACUCCCUGUCCAGACUUUUUUCCCACAGUGAGAACUCCUAUUCUUCCUAUUAAAGAUCUCAUGGGCUAAUGAGAAGGAACAAAAUCUAUUAAUUAGUGUUCAAUGUGAUUAUCAUUGCAUGAUAGGAACUAAUAUGGAAACUGAAGAAGAAACACCUAACUCUAUCCUGGGGGUCUGGAAAGGCUUUUUAAAGGAGUUAAGGUUUGAUUAUAUCUUAGGGGGUUAAGAGGACCUUGCCAGGUAUUACGGACUGAAUUUUUGUGUCUCCCUCACUCAAAAUUCAUAUGUUGAAGCUCUAACCCUAGAGAGGUUAUGUAUGUGGAGACAGGACUUUUACCAAAGUAAGUGAAGGUAGAUGAGGCCACACGGAUGGGACCCUGUUAUGAAAAGAUUAGUGUCCAUAUAAGAAGAGACACCAGAGAGCUAGCUCCCUCCCCUUUCCCCUCACCCUUUCCUCUCCUCCCUUUCCUCCCCAAUAAACCAGGGAAAAGCCAUGUGAGGACAUAAGAAGAUGGCAGCCUUCCACAAGCCAGGAAUAGAGCCCUCACUGGAAACUUAAUUAGGCAGAACUUUGAUUUUGGACUUCAAGAAAAUGUGAGAAAAUAAAUUUGUGUUGUUUAAAUCACUCGAUCUAUGGCAUUUUGUUAUGGCAGCCUGGGCUCACUAAGACACCAGCUAAAAAGGAAAGGGAGAAUGUUCCAAGGAGAAGAGUCAGCAUAUUUAAUUGAAAGGAGACUUAAAAAGCAUGACAUAUUUAGGAAACCAGCAGUUCAUUAAGCCUGAAGUAUAGGGUGUUUGUGGGUAAGCAAUGGGAAACAGACCCGAAAGAUGAAAAAAAUAUGGGUGUCUGACCUUCUCAAAUUGUUGAAUCAACCAACCAUGUGGCUGCCUGACCUCUGGAUUUCUCCUUAUGUGAGAUGUUUCUGUGUUCUUUGAACCCCCAUGACAUGUUCUCUGUUCUUUGUUUUCAAGGGCAUUGAAUCAUUUAGACUGAAUUUUGGCUGCAUCUUAUAAAAAUCCUAAAAUAAUCAUGAUUUAAACAAUAUAGAAUUGUGAUUCUCUGUUGAUAAAAAUGCACUGAUGUUGUCAGCCCAGGGUAGAGACUCUCUCCAUUGUGGCAAAAGCCCGUGUUGGCUUUAUCAUGUUGUUACACUAUUCUAAGUAGGUGACUAGGGGAUCAUAUUACAAGGACCAGCCAUCCUGUCCACAUUCCAAACAGGAAGACAGGAGGAUACAGACCAUGUCUUCUUCUUCACAGACACAGAAACCACAUUGGAUACUUCUACUUAUAUGCCAUUGGCCAGAACUUAAUCACAUGAGAGCACAUAUGUGGAGGCCUGAAAGGUUGUCUUUACUUUGGAUGGUUAUGAUUCCAAAUAGCAAUUUGUGGGCUUAUUGCUAAAGAAGAGGAGUAGGGAUGUUGAGAAAUGCUUUCUAGCCUCUACCUCCUAGAGACUCCUCCUAAUUCAUCUAGAUGCCAGUGUAUGAGAGGGGGUGAGUGGAAUGGAAGUAGAUUCCCAGAAGGAAUUUUGUGGGUUACUGUGAGGGUAAUUCUGGUGUGAUUGGACUUUUGCCAUGGUGUCUGACAUGCAAUUAGUUUCCUGUUGGAACAACAAGUGUUCUUGCCCAGUGUACCUAAGAUGACCUUCCUGAAGUUUUAUAGGAUUUCACACAGCUAUUCUUGUACAGAAGGAAGAGAUAUUAAAACAGUGGAUUAUAUAUUCUUGUUAUUUCAUAGUAUUUCAUAGUCUGUAAACUGCUUCAGAAUUGUGACAGCCCACCUGAAUAGAAAAAAACAAAAGCCAUAUUAAGGGGUUAUUCUACAGUUUUUCCAUAGCAUAAGAAAUCAUCAAAGUGAGAAGACAACCUGCAGAAUGGGAAAGAGUAUUUGCAAACCAUACAUUUGAUAAAGGGAUAAUAUCCAAAAUA
This 2843-nucleotide long non-coding RNA is filed under the name Sus scrofa (pig). Its description in RNAcentral is "lncRNA (ENSSSCG00000061617.1)". Lineage: Eukaryota; Metazoa; Chordata; Mammalia; Artiodactyla; Suidae. The record is from RNAcentral.